GACGUAGGGUGCAAGCGUUGUCCGGAUUUACUGGGCGUAAAGAGCGCGUAGGCGGUCUUGUAAGUGUGAAGUGAAAUCUCCAGGGCUCAACCCGGAAACUGCUUUGCAUACUGCGAGACUAGAGGGAUGCAGAGGUUUGUGGAAUUCCUGGUGUAGCGGUGAAAUGCGUUGAUAUCAGGAGGAACACCCAUGGCGAAGGCAGCAAACUGGGCAUCAUCUGACGCUGAGGCGCGAAAGCGUGGGUAGCAAACAGG
RNAcentral lists this ribosomal RNA (254 nucleotides) under uncultured bacterium. RNAcentral describes it as "partial 16S ribosomal RNA". It matches the Rfam family "Bacterial small subunit ribosomal RNA", at positions 524 to 776 of the family's 1533-position model. The record is from RNAcentral.